RNAcentral lists this ribosomal RNA (497 nucleotides) under uncultured bacterium. RNAcentral's name for it is "partial 16S ribosomal RNA". It matches the Rfam family "Bacterial small subunit ribosomal RNA", at positions 28 to 507 of the family's 1533-position model. The record is from RNAcentral.
GACGAACGCUGGCGGCGUGCCUAAUACAUGCAAGUUGAGCGAUGAAGCUUGGUGCUUGCACCAAUUUGAAGAGCAGCGAACGGGUGAGUAACGCGUGGGGAAUCUGCCUUUGAGCGGGGGACAACAUUUGGAAACGAAUGCUAAUACCGCAUAACAACUUUAAACAUAAGUUUUAAGUUUGAAAGAUGCAAUUGCAUCACUCAAAGAUGAUCCCGCGUUGUAUUAGCUAGUUGGUGAGGUAAAGGCUCACCAAGGCGAUGAUACAUAGCCGACCUGAGAGGGUGAUCGGCCACAUUGGGACUGAGACACGGCCCAAACUCCUACGGGAGGCAGCAGUAGGGAAUCUUCGGCAAUGGACGAAAGUCUGACCGAGCAACGCCGCGUGAGUGAAGAAGGUUGUCGGAUCGUAAAACUCUGUUGGUAGAGAAGAGCGUUGGUGAGAGUGGAAAGCUCAUCAAGUGACGGUAACUACCCAGAAAGGGACGGCUAACUACGUG